UCUCCUCCGCUUUUGCAGCGCUACUCCACCUCAUCUCGCACGCCGCCGCCGAGAUCCUCUGCCACCGGCGAUGCGAUGCCGGCUGGCCAUGGCCACCACCACCUUCAGUUUCUUCUAUCCCUGCCAUGGCUGCUCUACCAAACGCCACCGCGGCGAGCUGCGCCUGCAGUCGCGGCGAGCCGAGCCCAUGGAUGUGAGGCCGUGGUGCGGCCGGCCUACGGCGGAGCCUGUUGCAUCCUUGGAUCAGCGGCCAUGUCCAAGGUAACGCGUUGCAACCGGUGAGAUGCGACGCUGGAACCGGUGUGGGGAUUUGCUUCAACCGGCGGGAGAUUUGCUUCAACCGGCGAGGAUGGUGGUGGGGCGGCGACCGUGGUGGGCUGUGAGGAGCGCCGACGGCGACGGCGAGCAGCGAGCGGCCAACGGUGGGGAGCCAGCGAAGCUUCGAGGUCGUGCGGGCAAGGAUCGAUGGCGUUCGUGUGUGUUUUUUAUCCAUGCAUGCGAGGCAGAAAGACAGGGAGGGAAAAGGAAAAAGAAAAGAGAUCUGACGAUUCGCAUCUUUUAGAUCGGGUGGCUAGCAGCUGACCGGCCGAAGGGUUAGGCCGGUGCGCCGGCGCCUAGUAGUGCCCAUUCAGAAAAGCUUUGGGAUUUUUUC
This is a long non-coding RNA of Triticum aestivum (bread wheat), 652 nucleotides long. RefSeq lists it as uncharacterized. Lineage: Eukaryota; Viridiplantae; Streptophyta; Magnoliopsida; Poales; Poaceae. The record is from RefSeq and is a predicted model, not a curated record. The transcript is spliced from 2 exons.